RNAcentral lists this ribosomal RNA (447 nucleotides) under uncultured bacterium. RNAcentral describes it as "partial 16S ribosomal RNA". It matches the Rfam family "Bacterial small subunit ribosomal RNA", at positions 29 to 523 of the family's 1533-position model. The record is from RNAcentral.
AGCGAACGCUGGCGGCAGGCUUAACACAUGCAAGUCGAACGCCCCGCAAGGGGAGUGGCAGACGGGUGAGUAACACGUGGGAACGUACCCUUUGGUUCGGAAUAACUUGGGGAAACUCAAGCUAAUACCGGAUAAGCCCUUAUGGGGAAAGGUUUACUGCCGAAGGAUCGGCCCGCGUCUGAUUAGCUAGUUGGUGAGGUAAUGGCUCACCAAGGCGACGAUCAGUAGCUGGUCUGAGAGGAUGAUCAGCCACACUGGGACUGAGACACGGCCCAGCCUCCCACGGGAGGCAGCAGUGGGGAAUAUUGGACAAUGGGGGCAUCCCUGAUCCAGCCAUGCCGCGUGGGUGAUGAAGGCCUUAGGGUUGUAAAGCUCUUUUACCCGGUACGAUAAUGACUGUACCGGGAGAAUAAGCCCCGGCUAACUUCGUGCCAGCCGCCGCCGUAA